Molecule: transfer RNA, 77 nt
Filed under: Actinomycetota bacterium
Lineage: Bacteria; Bacillati; Actinomycetota
Description: tRNA-Arg
Rfam family: tRNA
About the family: Transfer RNA (tRNA) molecules are approximately 80 nucleotides in length.
Source: RNAcentral
GCGCCCGUAGCUCAGCUGGACAGAGCAGUGGCCUUCUAAUCCACCGGUCGCAGGUUCGAAUCCUGCCGGGCGCACCA